CAACGACACUCUGGAGAGACCGGCCGCCUUGCGGCAGCGCCGGCGCCGAAGGGGCACGAAGCACGCGACCUCCUCGUCGGCGCGCUUCCAAACUCUCAGGCAAAAGGACAGAGGGGCAUCC
Molecule: non-coding RNA, 121 nt
Filed under: Lysobacterales bacterium
Lineage: Bacteria; Pseudomonadati; Pseudomonadota; Gammaproteobacteria; Lysobacterales
Description: Xanthomonadales bacterium Glycine sequence
Rfam family: Glycine riboswitch aptamer
About the family: This family represents the bacterial glycine riboswitch.
Source: RNAcentral